RNAcentral lists this transfer RNA (64 nucleotides) under Cavia porcellus (domestic guinea pig). It matches the Rfam family "tRNA". From Rfam's summary of the family: Transfer RNA (tRNA) molecules are approximately 80 nucleotides in length. Their secondary structure includes four short double-helical elements and three loops (D, anti-codon, and T loops). Lineage: Eukaryota; Metazoa; Chordata; Mammalia; Rodentia; Caviidae. The record is from Rfam by way of RNAcentral.
GGGGAUUUAGCUCAGUGGCAUAAGCACCUGCCUUGUAAGCAGGCGGUCACAAGUUCGAUCCCCA